RNAcentral lists this ribosomal RNA (468 nucleotides) under uncultured bacterium. RNAcentral's name for it is "partial 16S ribosomal RNA". It matches the Rfam family "Bacterial small subunit ribosomal RNA", at positions 28 to 507 of the family's 1533-position model. The record is from RNAcentral.
GUCGAACGCUGGCGGCGUGCUUAACACAUGCAAGUCGAACGGAAAGGCCCUGCUUUUGUGGGGUGCUCGAGUGGCGAACGGGUGAGUAACACGUGAGUAACCUGCCCUUGACUUUGGGAUAACUUCAGGAAACUGGGGCUAAUACCGGAUAGGAGCUCCUGCUGCAUGGUGGGGGUUGGAAGGUUUCGGCGGUUGGGGAUGGACUCGCGGCUUAUCAGCUUGUUGGUGGGGUAGUGGCUUACCAAGGCUUUGACGGGUAGCCGGCCUGAGAGGGUGACCGGCCACAUUGGGACUGAGAUACGGCCCAGACUCCUACGGGAGGCAGCAGUGGGGAAUAUUGCACAAUGGGCGGAAGCCUGAUGCAGCAACGCCGCGUGCGGGAUGACGGCCUUCGGGUUGUAAACCGCUUUCGCCUGUGACGAAGCGUGAGUGACGGUAAUGGGUAAAGAAGCACCGGCUAACUACGUG